Molecule: ribosomal RNA, 440 nt
Filed under: uncultured bacterium
Lineage: Bacteria
Description: partial 16S ribosomal RNA
Rfam family: Bacterial small subunit ribosomal RNA
Source: RNAcentral
CCUACGGGAGGCAGCAGUGGGGAAUAUUGCUCAAUGGGGGAAACCCUGAUGCAGCGACGCCGCGUGAAGGAAGAAGGAUUUCGGUAUGUAAACUCCUAUUAGUCGGGAAGAAAAUGACGGUACCUGACGAAGAAGCCCCGGCUAACUACGUGCCAGCAGCCGCGGUAAUACGUAGGGGGCGAGCGUUAUGCGGAUUUACUGGGCGUAAAGGGAGCGUAGGCGGGUUAGUAAGUCAGAAGUGAAAGCCUGGAGCUCAACUACAGGACUGCUGUUGAAACUGUUGGACUAGAUUGCGGGAGAGGUAAGUGGAAUUCGUGGUGUAGCGGUGAAAUGCGUAGAUAUCAGGAGGAACACCAAUGGCGAAGGCGGCUUACUGGAAUAUGAAUGACGCUGAGGCACGAAAGCGUGGGGAGCAAACAGGAUUAGAUACCCCUGUAGUC